CAUUGCGCCGGUCUGCGAUCAUUACACGAACAGUCAACAAAUCAAGUCACGUGGGAGGCCAACUGAGGUCACGUGACCAGCCUUAUUCCGGGACUCUACAGCUGUGACCUAGAAUAUCUCACCAUCUUCCCUUUCCAUCUCCAUCUCUCCACCACUGUGGGCCGCAGUGUUCUUCCUUUUCACCUGCCGGUGGGUGGAGCCACAGGGUCUCUGCAUGGGCACCAGCAGACGGAAGCCGGGUGAGGCGGGUACAGACGCUGGUCCCAGGCUGACUGGGGAGAGAUGGCAAGGGACCAGGGAGGAAGAAGAAGAGGCAGUGGAAGGACUGCUGCUCUGGACAGAAGAGUAUCCAGAGCUGUGGAGAUUGAUGCGGAGUGGCCUUUUGGAAGAAAAGGAAGAGCAGGAUGCAGCAGGCUCAGCCAUGUUUUCCUCAUCACUUGAGAGAGCACUGCAGUGUAGACGCUGCACUCCCAGUGGUAGCUGAACUGAGAAGAUAGAAACUGUGGAAACAAAACAAACAUCUCUGUUACUUGUACAUUUGUGGUAUAACAUUAAAUUACCAAUAAUUUUAAAA
Tachysurus vachellii is the source of this 574-nucleotide long non-coding RNA. RefSeq lists it as uncharacterized. NCBI's taxonomy places the organism in Eukaryota, Metazoa, Chordata, Actinopteri, Siluriformes, Bagridae. The record is from RefSeq and is a predicted model, not a curated record. The transcript has 2 exons.